AACAUCGCCUUUUGCAACAUAUAAAAGGUCCAGCCUGCCCAGUGACUUGUUCAACGGCCGCGGUAUCCUAACCGUGCGAAGGUAGCGUAAUCACUUGUUUUCUAAAUCAAGACUAGUAUGAAAGGCAUCACGAAGAUCCAACUGUCUCCUUUUUUUUAUCAGUAAAACUAAUCUCCCCGUGAAGAAGCGGGGAUUUUUUUAUAAGACGAGAAGACCCUAUGGAGCUUUAAACUUUAAGCCACUUGAUUUGACUCAAUUAACCUCUUUAAACAUUUUGGCCCACUGUUUUAGGUUGGGGUGACCCAGGAGAAAAAAUUAUCCUCCUGGCUGACACGGAUUUAUCCCAAGCAACAAGCUACACCUUUAAGCAUCAAAAAAUUGACAUUCAUUGACCCAGUUUUCUGACCAACGAACCAAGUUACCCUAGGGAUAACAGCGCAAUCUACUUCAAGAGUCCCUAUCGACAAGUGGGUUUACGACCUCGAUGUUGGAUCAGGGUGUCCCAGUGGGGCAGCCCCUACUAAUGGUUCGUUUGUUCAACGAUUAAAACCCUACGUGAU
RNAcentral lists this ribosomal RNA (560 nucleotides) under Noblella thiuni. Its description in RNAcentral is "partial large subunit ribosomal RNA". It matches the Rfam family "Bacterial large subunit ribosomal RNA", at positions 1812 to 2604 of the family's 2925-position model. The record is from RNAcentral. Lineage: Eukaryota; Metazoa; Chordata; Amphibia; Anura; Craugastoridae.